CCUGCCUCAGCCUCCCGAGUAGCUGGGACUACAGGCGGUGCGCCGUUUUUUAAGCCCGUCGGAAAAGCGCAGUAUUCGGGUGGGAGUGACCCGAUUUUCCAGGUGCCGUCCGUCACCCCUUUCUUUGACUCGGAAAGGGAACUCCCUGACCCCUUGCGCUUCCCGAGUGAGGCAGUGCCUCGCCCUGCUUCGGCUCGCACACGGUGCGCGCACCCACUGACCUGCGCCCGCUCUCUGGCACUCCCUAGUGAGAUGAACCCGGUACCUCAGAUGGAAAUGCAGAAAUCACCGUCUUCUGCGUCGCUCACGCUGGGAGCUGUAGACCGGAGCUGUUCCUAUUCGGCCAUCUUGGCUCCUCCAGGCCAAUUUACUUUCAAAAAUACCUGCAUCCAGGAACUCUCAUGCUAGCAGGAUGAGGUAAUGACUAUUUCCCAUACUCGUGUCAACUUUGAGCAAUGCUAGGAAUUUCCAUAUGUCCAAACAACUGUUUAUCAGGAAAUGCAACAAGGUACUUUUGACACUGAGCGUGAAAGGAACUCAUUGAACCAAAAUCUUCCAAAAAGACUGGAACAUAAGAGAGCGGAUGAAGAGCAUAAUAGAAGAGAAGUGCCAGGGAGGAGGAUUAUCUUAGGCAGAGCACACUGAGGAUGGAGAGUUACCAGCCCUCCCGAGCUGUCGUUGGCACUGAACCAAUGAGAGCCAUUCAUGUGCCUGUCUGUGCCUUGUGUUUUUCUUCUUCAACAUAUACUUUAGAACAUCCAUUCUGUGCAAAGCUCUGUGCCCACAGCUGUUGAGAUGCCAGAUGCAUGCUGUUCCCUGCCCUGAAGACCCCAGCAGUCAGGCCAGGGAGAGAAGACAUUCUUAGACAACCCAACAGUCGUCCCUGGGGAAAGGAAGCACGGUUUCGGGGAAGUGGCCAAGUGGCUUAAGUGAGGAGGGUCUGCUUGAAGGUGGCAGGUCUGCUUGAAGCGGCUUCCUGAAGAGGUGAGCUUAUCACCGGCAUCCUGUGUCCCUUCAGGUUCCCUGAGAACUGGGUCAAGAAAGCAGGUUGGGGUAGGAAACAAACGACACCCCCAUUUCAAACAAUAACUUUUAUUUUAUACUUCUCUAUACUUUGUAGCAAAUCUUUUUUUGCUGAAUUUAAUUUAUAAUAAACUUUUUAAAUUACAUCU
This 1172-nucleotide long non-coding RNA is filed under the name Homo sapiens (human). Its description in RNAcentral is "HSALNT0100603". Lineage: Eukaryota; Metazoa; Chordata; Mammalia; Primates; Hominidae. The record is from RNAcentral.